This 253-nucleotide ribosomal RNA is filed under the name uncultured bacterium. Its description in RNAcentral is "partial 16S ribosomal RNA". It matches the Rfam family "Bacterial small subunit ribosomal RNA", at positions 524 to 776 of the family's 1533-position model. The record is from RNAcentral.
UACGUAGGGUGCAAGCGUUACUCGGAAUUACUGGGCGUAAAGCGUGCGUAGGCGGCUAUGUAAGACAGAUGUGAAAUCCCUGGGCUUAACCUAGGAACUGCAUUUGUGACUGCAUUGCUAGAGUGUGGUAGAGGGAGAUGGAAUUCCGCAUGUAGCAGUGAAAUGCGUAGAUAUGCGGAGGAACACCAAUGGCGAAGGCAAUCUCCUGGACCUGCACUGACGCUCAUGCACGAAAGCGUGGGGAGCAAACAGG